CCAAUUUCCUUGCAUCUUCCAUAUAUGAAACUAUGAUUUUCUUUCCCACAAUUCACCUUCGAUUAUCCUUGUUGUUGUAGUUGCUAACUUAGACCUUUUCAUACAUCUCAAAAUUUUCGUAUGAUCCCUUGCAAAUCUCUGCCAUCGUCAAAGAAAAUCCGGAGAGCAUUUGUUGUGUACAAUUGUGAAGCUUCUCUCUUGUGACUUCCACCUAUAGAUUGUA
Molecule: long non-coding RNA, 223 nt
Filed under: Nicotiana benthamiana
Lineage: Eukaryota; Viridiplantae; Streptophyta; Magnoliopsida; Solanales; Solanaceae
Description: long non-coding RNA (NBEN_LNC004792)
Source: RNAcentral